This 1803-nucleotide long non-coding RNA is filed under the name Meleagris gallopavo (turkey). RNAcentral describes it as "lncRNA (ENSMGAG00000021264.1)". Lineage: Eukaryota; Metazoa; Chordata; Aves; Galliformes; Phasianidae. The record is from RNAcentral.
AUGUCUUCACUGCAGUUGUGCUCUUCGUAUUUUGAGAAUGUGAUGGAAGUGCCACAGGAUCCUUAUGGCUCUCCUAAGCACUGUGAAGACAGGUUAUCUAGGUGCUGCCCACAAAGAUGUUCUGCCUCUGGAGCUGAGCCAUUCACAGGAUUAAAUCUGUCUUUGCAAAUGCCUGUGCCUAAAACACCCUGGUGAAAAAAGACUCUUUUCCAAGCAAGAUGUGAUAGCUCAAAUAAACCAGCCAACCUCCCUCUGCUGGGGGACAGUGUCUGAACGGAGUGCUACCCAACAUUCAUCACGUUAUGUAACACUUCGGAAACACUUCAAGAUAGUUUUUGGAAUUGGUGAAAAACCUGUUGCUCAAGGGAAGAAUAUUGAAGCCUAGGCUGGAAGCUGCAGGCCUCACAAGUCUGUCUGGGCUCCUGGAUAUGCAAAUGGGAGCUAGGGAUCUCCAGGUCCCCACUUCAGCACAUUGGAGCUACAUGGGAGCUGCAGACCCCCAGUGCAUGGUGGCUUUUUGCCAGCCCUACUAGCAACCAGGCACAGAUCCAGGGGAAUUUAGCCUGUAUUUCAGUGGGCAUUUAUUCAUUUUGAUGAAACAAUGUUUGUUUGUUUUCAGUUAAUCAGUGCUUUCUGAUGAAGAAAACAUUUUGUCAGAGAAUUCCCAGCAAACUCUACCCAUGAGUCAGCAGUGAUGCCUAGAAUCAGCCCCAGUGUCCUCUCCCAACCUGGCACACAAAGCUCUUUACCAGUCUUUACCUCUGCGUAAGUCCCUGAGGCACAGUGACCCUUCUGCAGCUUGGUGGGACAACAGAGCAGCCUCAUAGAGUGCCUCUCCUCAUGGAGAGGAGACAUGCUUUGAACUGGGGCUGUGGUUUUGUUUCUCUAUCUUAUUAACUUCUUCAGCAUUUAUAACAAAGCUCUAAAAAAUUAUUUUGUUUUCCACUUCAGCUUCACUUCAGCUUGGUCUUCACCUUCAGCUUGGUUUUCAGUCCAAGAAGCACACUGGCAUGGCCAAGCUACUCUUCUGGGGUAAUGGCUUCAGGUUGCACCAGAGGACAUUCAGGCUGGAUAUUAGGAACUUUUUUUUCUCCAGAAAGAGUGGCGAUGCACUGGCACUGCUGCCCAAGGGGUUGUGGAGUCACUGUCCCUGGAGGUGUUCAAGAACUGUGCAGAUAUGGCACUGAUGGAUGUGGUCAGUGGGCAUGGUGGGGGUAGGUUGAUCGUUGGACUCAAUGGUCUUAGUGGUCUUUUCCAACCUUAAUGAUUCCUUGCUUGUGAUUCUGAUUCUCUGAGCUGGUUGGAGAGCUCGAAAGUGUUGGCAGCUGCCACCAUUCUGUCACAAGAUUCUAAAAUCUACUGGUAUUCAUACACUCCCAAUAACCAGAUCCAUGUGACAAAUAAACAUUUUCAUUUCAGCUUUUUGUUUCAGCUCCAGGAAGACUUGAGAGCAGCUAUACAAUAGCUAAAGAGGAGCUAUAAGAAGGAAGGGGACAGACUCUUUAGCAGGGCCUGUUGUGACAGGGCAAGGGGAAAGGGUUUUAAACUAAAAGAGGAAAAGUUUAGAUUGGCUGUAAGAAAGAAGUUUUUUACAAUAAGGGCAGUGAGGCACUGGCACAGGCUGCACAGAAAGCCGGUGGUGCCCCAUCCCUGGAAACAGCCAAGGUCAGGCUGGAUGGGCUCCGAGUACCUGAUGGAGCUGUGGGUGUCCCUGUUCAUUGCAGGGGGGUUGGAGCAGAUGGCUUUUAAGGGACCCUUCUAACACAAAUUAUUCUAUGGGCCUAUGAACAAAAGGAGAUGUUA